UCAAAACUUUCAACAACGGAUCUCUUGGCUGUGGCAUCGAUGAAGAACGCAGCGAAAUGCGAUAACUAAUGUGAAUUGCAGAAUUCAGUGAAUCAUCGAGUCUUUGAACGCACAUUGCGCCCGCUGGUAUUCCGGCGGGCAUGCCUGUCCGAGCGUCAUUUCGUC
Molecule: ribosomal RNA, 165 nt
Filed under: Graphium pseudormiticum
Lineage: Eukaryota; Fungi; Ascomycota; Sordariomycetes; Microascales; Graphiaceae
Description: 5.8S ribosomal RNA
Rfam family: 5.8S ribosomal RNA
About the family: 5.8S ribosomal RNA (5.8S rRNA) is a component of the large subunit of the eukaryotic ribosome. It is transcribed by RNA polymerase I as part of the 45S precursor that also contains 18S and 28S rRNA.
Source: RNAcentral